Molecule: ribosomal RNA, 494 nt
Filed under: uncultured bacterium
Lineage: Bacteria
Description: partial 16S ribosomal RNA
Rfam family: Bacterial small subunit ribosomal RNA
Source: RNAcentral
ACUCAAAUGAAUUGACGGAAAUCUAUACCAGUGGUGGAGUAUGUAGUUUAAUUCGAUAAUAAGCGAAAAACCUUACUAACCCUUGAAUAUAAGUAUUUAAGGUAACUUAUUUCUUUAUGUUUUAUUAGAGAUAAGAGGAAUUUCUUAUACAGGUGUUGCAUGGCUGUCGUAAGCCCGUGUUUUGAGAUGUUAGGUUAAUUCCGCUAACGGGCGAAACCCUUGUUUUUUGUUGUAAAAAAGAUAGCCGAUGCCAAUUGUUGUAAGGAAGGGAAGGAUGACGUCAAGUCAAGAUGGCCUUUAUGGGUUGGGCGACACACGUACUACAAAGGUUGUGACAAUGAAUAGCAAUAGUGUGAGCUGGAGCAAGUUUUAUAAAAUCAACCGUAGUUCGGAUUGUUCUCUGCAAUUCGAGAACAUGAAGGUGGAAUCGCUAGUAAUCGCAAAUCAGCAUGUUGCGGUGAAUAAUGGAAAUGGAUUUUGUACACACCGCCCGU